Ictalurus punctatus (channel catfish) is the source of this 2094-nucleotide long non-coding RNA. The record is from Ensembl. Lineage: Eukaryota; Metazoa; Chordata; Actinopteri; Siluriformes; Ictaluridae.
UUGGGACUUUACUUAGGGGCAGUUGGACAGUAGUUAGCAGCUGUUGAGACAGUCGUUAGGGGCAGUUGGGACAGUAGUUUGGGGCAGUUGUGAAAGUAGUUUAGUGACAUUUGGCACAGUAGUUGGGGGCAGUUGGGACAGUAGAUAGCGACCGUUGGGACAGUAGUUAGGGGCAGAUGGGACAGUAGUUAGGGGCAGUUGAGACAGUAGUUAGUGGCAGUUGUGACAGUAGAGCGGUGGAGUUGGGACAGUACUUAGCGACAGUUAGGACAGUAGUUAGGGACAGUUGGGAUAGUAGGUAGGGGCAGUUGGGACAGUAGUUAGCGGCAGUUGGGACUGUAGUUAGGUACAAUUUGGACAGUACUUAGCGACAGAUGCGACAGUAGUUAGGGGCAGUUGGGACAGUAGUUUGCAGCAGUUGGGACAGUAGUUAGGGGCAGUUGGGAUAGUAGUUAGUGACAGUUGGGACAGUAGUUGGGGCAGUUGGGACAGUAGUUUGUGGCAGUAGGGGCAGUUGAGACACUAGUUAGGGCAGUUGUGGCAGUAGUUAGGGGCAGUAGUUAGUGGCAGUUAGGACUGUAGUUUGCGGCAGUUGGGACAGUAGUUAGCGGCAGAUGGGACAGUAGUUAGGGGCAGCUGGGAUAGUAGUUAGGUGGAGUCGGGACAGUACUUAGCGACAGUUUUGACAGUAGUUAGGGGCAGUUGGGACAUUAGUUAGCGGCAGUUGGGACAGUAGUUAGGUGCAGUUGAGACAGUAGUUAGCGGCAGAUGGGACAGAUGUUAGUGGCAGUUGAGAUAGUAGUUAGGUGUAGUUGGGACAGUACGUAGCAACAGUUGGGACAGUAGUUAGGGGCAGUUGGGACUUCAGUUUGAAGCAGUUGGGAAAGUAGUUUGCGGGAGUUGGGCCAGUAGUUAGCGGCAGAUGGAACAGUAGUUAGCGGCAGUUGGGACAGUGGGUAGGUGCAGUUGGGACAGUACUUUGCAACAGUUGGGACAGUAGUGAGUUGUAGUUGGGACAGUACUUAGCAACAGUUGGGACAGUAGUUUGAAGCCUUUGGGAAAGUAGUUUGCGCGAGUUGGGCCAGUUGUUUGCAGCAGAUGGGACAGUAGUUAGCGGCAGUUGGGACAGUGGGUAGGUGCAAUUGGGACAGUACUUUGCGACACUUGGGACAGUAGUUAGGGGCAGUUGGCACAGUAGUUAGGGGCAGUUGGGACAGUAGUUAGCGACAGAUGGGACAGUAGUUAGCGAUAGAUGGAACAGUAGUUAGGGACAGUUGGGACAGUAGUUAUUGACAGUUGGGACAGUAGUUAGGGGCAGUUGCGACAGUAGUUAGCGACAGUUAGGACAGUAGUUAGGUUCAGUUGGAAAGUAGUUAAGGGCAGCUGGGACAGUAGUUAGCAGCAUUUGGGACUGUAGUUAGGGGCAGUUGGGACAGUACUUUGCAGCAGUUGGGACAGUAGUUUUCGGGAGUUGGGACAGUAGUUUGCAGCAGUUGGGACACUAGUUAGUGGCAGUUGGGACAGUAGUUAUGGACAGUUCGGACAGUAGUAAGCCUCAGUUGGGACAGUAGUUAUCGACAGUUGCGGCAGUUGGGGUUGUAGUUAGCGACAGUUGGGACAGUAAUUAGGGAAAGUUUGGACAGUAGUAAGCCUCAGUUGGGACUGUAGUUAGGGGCAGUUGGAACAGUAGUUAGUGACAGUUUGACAGUAGUUAGGGGCAUUUGAGACAGUAGUUACCGGCAGAUGGGAAAGUAGUUAGUGCAGUUGGACAGUAGUUGGGACAGUAGUUAGCGACAGUUGAGACUGUACUAAGCGGUAGUUGGGACUGUAGUUAGGGGCAGUUGGAACAGUAGUUAGUGACAGUUUGACAGUAGUUAGGGGCAUUUGAGGCAGUAGUUGGUCAGUUGGAACAGUAGUUAGCAACAUUUAGGACAGCAGUUAGGGGCAGUUGGUGCUGUAGUUAGGGGCAGUUGGAACAGUAGUUAUUUACAUUGAGACAGUAGUUAGUGGCAGUUGGGACAGUAGUUAGUGACAGUUUUGACAGUUGUUAGGGGCACUAGCGACAGUAGUUGGGGAAUUUGAGACAGUAGUUAG